RNAcentral lists this ribosomal RNA (495 nucleotides) under uncultured bacterium. RNAcentral describes it as "partial 16S ribosomal RNA". It matches the Rfam family "Bacterial small subunit ribosomal RNA", at positions 28 to 507 of the family's 1533-position model. The record is from RNAcentral.
GACGAACGCUGGCGGCGUGCCUAAUACAUGCAAGUAGAACGCUGAAGGAGGAGCUUGCUUCUCUGGAUGAGUUGCGAACGGGUGAGUAACGCGUAGGUAACCUGCCUGGUAGCGGGGGAUAACUAUUAGAAACGAUAGCUAAUACCGCAUAAGAGUAGAUGUCGCAUGACAUUUGCUUAAAAGGUGCAAUUGCAUCACUACCAGAUGGACCUGCGUUGUAUUAGCUAGUUGGUGAGGUAACGGCUCACCAAGGCAACGAUACAUAGCCGACCUGAGAGGGUGAUCGGCCACACUGGGACUGAGACACGGCCCAGACUCCUACGGGAGGCAGCAGUAGGGAAUCUUCGGCAAUGGACGGAAGUCUGACCGAGCAACGCCGCGUGAGUGAAGAAGGUUUUCGGAUCGUAAAGCUCUGUUGUAAGAGAAGAACGAGUGUGAGAGUGGAAAGUUCACACUGUGACGGUAUCUUACCAGAAAGGGACGGCUAACUACGUG